This 503-nucleotide ribosomal RNA is filed under the name uncultured bacterium. RNAcentral's name for it is "bacterial SSU rRNA". It matches the Rfam family "Bacterial small subunit ribosomal RNA", at positions 333 to 857 of the family's 1533-position model. The record is from RNAcentral.
AUUUUCUUACGUGAGGCAGCAGUGGGGAAUCUUUGACAAUGGGCGCAAGCGUGAUCCAGACAUGCCGCGUGAGAGAUGAAGGCCUUAGGGUCGUAAAGCUCUUUCCCCAGGGAUGAUAAUGACAGUACCUGGUAAAGAAACCCCGGCUAACUCUGUGCCAGCACCCGCGGUAAUACGGAGGGGGUUAGCGUUGUUCGGAAUUACUGGGCGUAAAGCGUACGUAGGCGGAUCAUUAAGUAAGGGGUAAAAUCCCAGGGCUCAACCCUGGAACUGCCUGUUAAACUCCCGGUCUUGAGUUCGAGAGAGGGGAGGGGAAUUCCGAGUGUAGAGGUGAAAUUUGUAGAUAUUUGGAGGAACACCAGUGGCGAAGGCGGCUCACUGGCUAGAUACUGACGCUGAGGUUUGAAUGUGUGGGGAGCAAACACGAUAGAUACCCCGGUAGUCCCCCCCCCCUCAUGAAUUCCAGUCGUCGGGUAGCAUACUUUUCGGUGACACACCUAACG